This is a long non-coding RNA of Triplophysa dalaica, 570 nucleotides long. RefSeq lists it as uncharacterized. The record is from RefSeq and is a predicted model, not a curated record. NCBI's taxonomy places the organism in Eukaryota, Metazoa, Chordata, Actinopteri, Cypriniformes, Nemacheilidae. The transcript is spliced from 3 exons.
UUUUGCUUCACAGCGGUCACUUAGCGACGUCACGAGGAUUGUUCUGUUUGCUGUGCUUCUGCCAACUGCUGCUGAAAGCAGUUCAUCUGUAAAGAUGGAUUUUGUCAAAGUGGUUAUUGGCGACAUCAGUGAUCCAGAAGCAAUCAGAAUAAAAAGCGAAGAUACUGAGAAACAGAGGAAAAUAAAUGAGUAGUGGAGUGAAGGGCUCUGAUGACCUGGAGCUACAGUAGAAACCGUUAUUCAGCAUGCUGGUUCUGUAUUAAAUGCUUGAAAACCGUCUGUUCUACGGCACAUUGGAGUAUAAUGAAGCAACAUCCCCACAUUAACCAUCUGAAAGCAAACCAAAAUGCUUCAAUGAAUUGCAAACUACGACGUACUAGAUAGUGUGGAACUGAUUUUGUGCUUGUGUUGUAAACUAAUAUUGUUGCACAGUGAUGAAAGCAAAUGAUUCGGCUCUUCAGUGCAGUUAGAUACAUGGGUUCAGGGCUGCGUCGUUGACAGCAAUGUUUUGUCAAUGAUAAAAUAUAAUAAAAGUGCUGUUUUAUGCUUUUAAUUUGUGGUUCAUGCUGU